This 484-nucleotide ribosomal RNA is filed under the name uncultured bacterium. Its description in RNAcentral is "partial 16S ribosomal RNA". It matches the Rfam family "Bacterial small subunit ribosomal RNA", at positions 30 to 507 of the family's 1533-position model. The record is from RNAcentral.
AUUGAACGCUGGCGGCAUGCCUUACACAUGCAAGUCGAACGGCAGCACGGACUUCGGUCUGGUGGCGAGUGGCGAACGGGUGAGUAAUGUAUCGGAACGUACCUUUCAGUGGGGGAUAACGUAGCGAAAGUUACGCUAAUACCGCAUAUUCUGUGAGCAGGAAAGCAGGGGAUCGAAAGACCUUGCGCUGAUUGAGCGGCCGAUAUCAGAUUAGCUAGUUGGUGGGGUAAAGGCCUACCAAGGCGACGAUCUGUAGCGGGUCUGAGAGGAUGAUCCGCCACACUGGAACUGAGACACGGUCCAGACUCCUACGGGAGGCAGCAGUGGGGAAUUUUGGACAAAGGGGGCAACCCUGAUCCAGCCAUGCCGCGUGAGUGCAGAAGGCCUUCGGGUUGUAAAGCUCUUUCGGCCGGGAAGACAUCGCAUAGGCUAAUACCCUGUGUGGAUGACGGUACCGGAAUAAGAAGCACCGGCUAACUACGUG